UUGAUCUAACACAACCUAACUUCCCAGGGGUACCUCUUGCCACCUAUGCCCUUGCACUCUAUGACACACCAGACACAUUGUAAUGACUGCAGUUUCUCAGCACACCUUUCUCUAUUACACACCCAUGCUGCUCCUGGCCUCUGGGACUUGGCACAAGCUUUUCCUUCUCUGGGAUUCCUCAUUUGUUCUAUGUACCAUACUCAAUCCUGCCUUCCCUCUUCCCCUAGAUAAUUCCUAAUUUUCCUUUAUUCCUUAGUUUAAAUGUCACUUCCAGUUGAAAAUAGGGAAAACAGGAAUCCCUGGGUGGGAAAAGACCAUACAUGAGGAAAGAGGCUGAUACAGUGGGCCUGAAGCUAGAUGAGAUUGGUGGUUCCAGGUCCAGUAAGAGGUUCUAACUGAAAGCCACAUUUAACAGUCUGAGAAAAGGAAGGCAGUGUGAUAAAGAAUGAAAUAAUUCUGUUACUAGGGUCGCAUGUCACAAUGCUAUGGGACUACCAUGAAGGCAGUCCAGACAAGAAGAAAAUGCUUCACCAAGAACUGGGAAGAGAGGAGCACCUGAGAUCUGGAAGCAGGAAAAAUGGCAAAAGUCCCCAAGUGAUGGUGGAAACGCUCGAAGAGGUCUUACAGAAAGAGGGUGGUUAGCCAGAGAGAUAAGCUUAUCAAAAUAGAUGAGUGCAAAUGCUGAUAUAGGAACAGAGAUCUGGAGACAGUGGCCAUAGAGGAAGCUAAAAAACCAUCAGGUAAUAUAACAUGUACGUGUUUCCUACAGUGGCAGUAGCAUAGGAGAAAGGUACAGGCAGCUUUAAAGCAACAAACAAAACAACAGUAGACAAUGACCAGGAAAUAUGGUGAGAAGAGUCAUCGGAAGAAAAGAAAGGCAAAACUGUAAGUAGCAGAACACAUUAUAUAAAUAUCAUUAAUAAUAAAAAUAAUAUUCACCAUGUAUGAAGCGUUUACUCAAUUACCAAGAAUCUAUUAAUAAUAUGCAUUAUUUCAUAUGGAAAAAAUGGCCUCGAGGAUGUCCAGAGAGAUACAAGAAAGGAGCAAGGCUGACAGUGUGCCAUUUUGUAGGUGGAAGACUAUAUAUCCACUGGAAAUAUUUAAAGUGACCUCUCCUAGGAUCCAACUGGAGGGGUCUAGAGGACAUUCAGGUUACAUUUGUUUAGAAUCCAAUUAUCCUACCAGAAUGAAACCUUCUUGAGGACAGAGACUGUGCUUUUUGUUCACCACUGUGUGAACAGAACCUGGCACUGGGCCUGACACAUGAGAGUACUAGAUAAAUAUGGGUUGGUAGACUUAACAAACAAGUAUGGAUGGGUGAAUGGAUGGAUGGAUUAAUGGAUAAAAACUCAGCUUAACAUAUUUGUAUCAUCGGGAAGCAAGAUAGAAAGCAUGUGUCCAUGUUUGAACCAAAAAUUUAAAGGGGAAUGGAAACAUCCCAAAUCCACACCUGCUGAUGACAGUGAGAAAUAAGGCCAAGCAAACAAAUGAUUCUCCUCAUUCAUUGAUUCAACAAACACUUCCUAAGCUCCUCAAGGGGCCAGGGCCCAAGGCAGGCAUGAAGUAGCACUGAGCACACAGACAAGCAGGACACAGGCUGGGAAAUAUCAAUUAAGUUAAGCGCAGAGCAUCAUAAGGACCUUACUUUUCAAAAUCCAUGCUGGUGAACUUGACCUCUUUGAUACUUUAGGAUUGAUAUUACAAUCUCAAGAGGUAUCACGGAAUAUUGAGGUUUGUUCUGCAUUUGGUUAUUCAAAGCUUUGAUUUUUUAAAUGUAUAGAGAUACUCUGUGCUGGAUAUUAAACACAUGUCUAUUUCUUUUUCCUCUCCAACAAGGGAAAUAGAAGAAAAAUUAUCUUGAAUGAGGGAUGUAAAUCAUGCUUGAGUGCUACAAGGCACUCAGGGUACCUGGCCAGAGGAAGUAGGCAGACAACUUUGUCCAGCCACAAUGGACAAAGAAGAGAUGGAGUGGUGUGGGGAAAUCAGGUUCUGGGCCUGUAAAGUGUGGAGACAUAGGCUCACUGUGCCUAUGAGUCUCACUGAGUUCUGAGACUUGUUUGAGACUUGGCAGGUGACAGUGGGAAAGUAUUCCUACAAGUAGGAUCAUACUGGUGGCAGUGCAGUAGUUAGAACAGAGGACCCAGUGUAGCACCUUCUCAGCUAGAGGCCGACCCAGGCCCUCCUCCAUAGUAAGAGCAGGAGAUUCUGCUUCAUGAAGUCCUUAGUCACUGCUCUGGAUCUUGAUCCUGAGCCAAGUUGUGACUCUGCCACCAGUUCUCUAUGACUUAGCUGCAAAGCAUGACAUCACUUAUGAUUCCUGAUUGUGGCAUAUUGAUGUAGUUUGAGCUGCUGAGGGGAAAAGGAAUGUGGACACUCCUGUUAUACCCAAUUAUGUAUCAUGAAAAGUCAUACAGCUUCUGUUGGAAGUCGAGCUUUUGAUAAACAGACGGCAGGUGCCUAAAUGACAUUCCUUGAUGACACUUGAAAAGGUCAUAACAAUCUCUCUGAACUCUGAAAUUCUAGGUUUUGUAUAAAGAGAUUUGACUAUUCUGUUUUUACUUGUAAUGAACAGUAUAUGACAGGUAAACUUUAGGGCAUACAAUAACUUCAUUUCAAUUCUGUAGCACAGUGGAAUAUUUGAAAAAUACUUUAUUGAGAUAAAAUUUAUAAAACAAAACUAACCAUUUUAAAGUGAACAAUCAGUGGCAUUUAGUAGGUUCACAUUUUUGUGCAAUCAUGACCUCUAUCAAGUUCCAAAACACUUCCAUUAUUCCCCCUUAUUCAUUAAGCAGUUUUUCCCCAUUCACCCCUGCUCCCUAACCCCUGGCAACCACCAA
This 2837-nucleotide long non-coding RNA is filed under the name Homo sapiens (human). RNAcentral's name for it is "HSALNT0292057". The record is from RNAcentral. Lineage: Eukaryota; Metazoa; Chordata; Mammalia; Primates; Hominidae.